UGGGGAAUAUUGGACAAUGGGGGGAACCCUGAUCCAGCCAUGCCGCGUGUGUGAAGAAGGCCUUAUGGUUGUAAAGCACUUUAAGCGAGGAGGAGGGUACUGGUAUUAAUACUACCAGGUACUGGACGUUACUCGCAGAAUAAGCACCGGCUAACUCUGUGCCAGCAGCCGCGGUAAUACAGAGGGUGCGAGCGUUCAUCGGAUUUACUGGGCGUAAAGCGUGCGUAGGCGGCUAAUUGAGUCGGAUGUGAAAUCCCCGAGCUUAACUUGGGAAUUGCAUUCGAUACUGGUUAGCUAGAGUGUGGGAGAGGAUGGUAGAAUUCCAGGUGUAGCGGUAAAAUGCGUAGAGAUCUGGAGGAAUACCGAUGGCGAAGGCAGCCAUCUGGCCUAACACUGACGCUGAGGUACGAAAGCAUGGGGAGCAAACAGG
RNAcentral lists this ribosomal RNA (430 nucleotides) under Pseudomonadota bacterium. RNAcentral describes it as "Proteobacteria bacterium partial 16S ribosomal RNA". It matches the Rfam family "Bacterial small subunit ribosomal RNA", at positions 355 to 776 of the family's 1533-position model. Lineage: Bacteria; Pseudomonadati; Pseudomonadota. The record is from RNAcentral.